AUACGGAGGAUCCGAGCGUUAUCCGGAUUUAUUGGGUUUAAAGGGAGCGUAGGUGGACAGUUAAGUCAGUUGUGAAAGUUUGCGGCUCAACCGUAAAAUUGCAGUUGAUACUGGCUGUCUUGAGUACAGUAGAGGUGGGCGGAAUUCGUGGGGUAGCGGUGAAAUGCUUAGAUAUCACGAAGAACUCCGAUUGCGAAGGCAGCUCACUGGACUGCAACUGACACUGAUGCUCGAAAGUGUGGGUAUCAAACAGGAUUAGAUACCCUGGUAGUCCACACAGUAAACGAUGAAUACUCGCUGUUUGCGAUAUACAGUAAGCGGCCAAGCGAAAGCAUUAAGUAUUCCACCUGGGGAGUACGCCGGCAACGGUGAAACUUAAAGGAAUUGACGGGG
This 393-nucleotide ribosomal RNA is filed under the name uncultured bacterium. RNAcentral describes it as "partial 16S ribosomal RNA". It matches the Rfam family "Bacterial small subunit ribosomal RNA", at positions 523 to 918 of the family's 1533-position model. The record is from RNAcentral.